Molecule: ribosomal RNA, 455 nt
Filed under: Lycoriella inflata
Lineage: Eukaryota; Metazoa; Arthropoda; Insecta; Diptera; Sciaridae
Description: partial small subunit ribosomal RNA
Source: RNAcentral
GGCUGCGGUAUUUUGACCGUACAAAGGUAGCAUAGUCAUUAGUUUUUUAAUUGGAAACUUGUAUGAAUGGUUGAAUGAAAAAUUAACUUUUUUAAAAAAAACAUUGAAUUUUACUUUUUAAUUAAAAGGUUAAAAUUUAUUUAAAAGACGAGAAGACCCUAUAGAGUUUUAUAUUUUUUGUUAUAAUUUUUAAUAAGUUUAUUUAAAAUUUUUUAAUAAAUAUUAUUUUGUUGGGGUGAUAAUAAAAUUUAAUUAACUUUUAUUUAUUAUUUACAUUAAUAUAUGAUUUUUUGAUCCAUUAUUAUUGAUUAAAAGUUUAAAUUACCUUAGGGAUAACAGCGUAAUUUUUUUUUAAGUUCUUAUUAAUAAAAAAUUUUGCGACCUCGAUGUUGGAUUAAGAUUUAAUUUUAGGUGCAGCAGUUUAAAGUUUAAGUCUGUUCGACUUUUAAAUUCUU